This 877-nucleotide long non-coding RNA is filed under the name Heterocephalus glaber (naked mole-rat). RNAcentral describes it as "lncRNA (ENSHGLG00000042738.1)". Lineage: Eukaryota; Metazoa; Chordata; Mammalia; Rodentia; Bathyergidae. The record is from RNAcentral.
GGAUCCCCGCAGUCCAGCCACGCCAGCGAACACGCCAGUCCCGAGGAGCUGCUUCCGUCUGCGCGCGGGGACCGGCGCUGCCCCGAGGCUCUCGGCGCUGACCGGGAAGGGGCCGCCCGCUCCUGUCCCGGAGAGCAGGCUCCCUCCCGGGCGGAUCCUUUCGGUAAAUUUACAUCGGCUGUUUCUUUCUGCCCGGCCCUGGGUCUCGAAGGGAAAGGAACGGUUUGUUUUCUCUGCUUGCACGAUUUGUUUUAAAGCCGAUCCUUACCCGCUGGGCUCCGCGACCGAACCCUCGGCUCUCUGCCUGCACUCCAAAGAUAAAAAAUAAAAAGGCUGGACUUGAACUCACUGUGUAGCACAGGCUGGCCUUAACGUCAUGAUGAGCCUCCUGCCUCAGCAUCCUGAGUGCUGGGAUUUCAGGGAUGGAACUUGGAACCUUACACUUGCAAGGCAGGUGCCGGAACCACUCAGGUAAAUCCCUGCCCCUUUACUUUAUGAACUUGAGAACUUUUCCUUUUUGACUUAAAGGAAGAAAAUUGUAGGGCCAGUCCUUGGCCAGCAUCACUAUACAGCACUUGCUCACUGAGGCCAUUAGUAAGUAAAGUAAUGGUUGCUGAAUACACACUGUGAUGUUACAGCCAAUCAGAUAACUGAGAUGGCCACUAAGCCACACAAUACUAAUAAUCACAUCAGGUAACAAGCCCAGAGGUAAUAGGAGGGCCUGAGGUAAUGCAUGAGGCUCUGGGUUUGAGCCCCAGUACUGCCGAAACAAACAAACAUAUGUAAAAAUGUCCAACAACUUUUUUUGGUACUGGGGAUCGAACUCGGGACCUUGUGCUUACGAGGCAGGUGGCAGAACCACUGAACUAAAUCCCCG